RNAcentral lists this ribosomal RNA (233 nucleotides) under uncultured bacterium. Its description in RNAcentral is "partial 16S ribosomal RNA". It matches the Rfam family "Bacterial small subunit ribosomal RNA", at positions 524 to 754 of the family's 1533-position model. The record is from RNAcentral.
UACGGAGGGAGCUGAGCGUUGUUCGGAAUUACUGGGCGUAAAGCGUGCGUAGGCGGUUAUUCAAGUCAGAGGUGAAAGCCCGGGGCUCAACCCCGGAACGGCCUUUGAAACUAGGUAACUAGAAUCUUGGAGAGGUUAGUGGAAUUCCGAGUGUAGAGGUGAAAUUCGUAGAUAUUCGGAAGAACACCAGUGGCGAAGGCGACUAACUGGACAAGUAUUGACGACUGAGGUAC